This 253-nucleotide ribosomal RNA is filed under the name uncultured bacterium. Its description in RNAcentral is "partial 16S ribosomal RNA". It matches the Rfam family "Bacterial small subunit ribosomal RNA", at positions 524 to 776 of the family's 1533-position model. The record is from RNAcentral.
UACGUAGGGGGCGAGCGUUGUCCGGAUUUACUGGGCGUAAAGGGCGUGCAGGCGGUUUGUUAAGUGCAGAGUGAAAGCUCCCGGCUCAACUGGGAGAGGUCUUUGCAUACUGGCAAACUCGAGGGAGGCAGAGGAAAGUGGAAUUCCCGGUGUAGUGGUGAUAUGCGUAGAUAUCGGGAGGAACACCUGUGGCGAAGGCGGCUUUCUGGGCCUUACCUGACGCUGAGACGCGAAAGCGUGGGGAGCGAACCGG